CCUACGGGUGGCAGCAGUGAGGAAUAUUGGUCAAUGGGCGAGAGCCUGAACCAGCCAAGCCGCGUGAGGGAGUACUGCCCUAUGGGUUGUAAACCUCUUUUGUCGGGGAGCAAAAGCCGGAAGUGUCCGGCUGUGAGAGUACCCGAAGAAAAAGCAUCGGCUAACUCCGUGCCAGCAGCCGCGGUAAUACGGAGGAUGCGAGCGUUAUCCGGAUUUAUUGGGUUUAAAGGGUGCGCAGGCGGGUUAUUAAGUCAGCGGUAAAAUCGUGGGGCUCAACCCCAUCCAGCCGUUGAAACUGGGGAUCUAGAGUGUGCGAGAGGUAUGCGGAAUGCGUGGUGUAGCGGUGAAAUGCAUAGAUAUCACGCAGAACCCCGAUUGCGAAGGCAGCAUACCGGUGCACAACUGACGCUCAGGCACGAAAGCGUGGGUAUCGAACAGGAUUAGAUACCCCAGUAGUC
This 458-nucleotide ribosomal RNA is filed under the name uncultured bacterium. RNAcentral describes it as "partial 16S ribosomal RNA". It matches the Rfam family "Bacterial small subunit ribosomal RNA", at positions 338 to 795 of the family's 1533-position model. The record is from RNAcentral.